UAGGGGAAUUUUCGUCAAUGGGCGCAAGCCUGAACGAGCAAUGCCGCGUGAACGAGGAAGGUCUUCGGAUCGUAAAGUUCUGUUGAAGGGGAAAAAGAGCGGAGAGAGGAAAUGCUUUCUGAUUGAUAUUACCCUUCGAGGAAGUCACGGCUAACUACGUGCC
RNAcentral lists this ribosomal RNA (163 nucleotides) under uncultured bacterium. RNAcentral describes it as "partial 16S ribosomal RNA". It matches the Rfam family "Bacterial small subunit ribosomal RNA", at positions 354 to 509 of the family's 1533-position model. The record is from RNAcentral.